RNAcentral lists this ribosomal RNA (253 nucleotides) under uncultured bacterium. RNAcentral describes it as "partial 16S ribosomal RNA". It matches the Rfam family "Bacterial small subunit ribosomal RNA", at positions 524 to 776 of the family's 1533-position model. The record is from RNAcentral.
UACGUAGGGGGCAAGCGUUGUCCGGAUUUAUUGGGCGUAAAGAGCGUGUAGGCGGCCAUACAGGUCCGUUGUGAAAACUGGAGGCUUAACCUCCAGACGUCGAUGGAAACCGUAUGGCUAGAGUCCGGAAGAGGAGAGUGGAAUUCCUGGUGUAGCGGUGAAAUGCGCAGAUAUCAGGAAGAACACCCGUGGCGAAGGCGGUACUCUGGGCCGGAACUGACGCUGAGGAGCGAAAGCGUGGGUAGCGAACAGG